GGGUGUGUAGCUCAGCUGGAUAGAGCAUCUGCCUUCUAAGCAGACGGUCAAAGGUUCGAAUCCUUUCGCGCUCA
Molecule: transfer RNA, 74 nt
Filed under: Chryseobacterium sp. RU33C
Lineage: Bacteria; Pseudomonadati; Bacteroidota; Flavobacteriia; Flavobacteriales; Weeksellaceae
Description: tRNA_Arg_TCT
Rfam family: tRNA
About the family: Transfer RNA (tRNA) molecules are approximately 80 nucleotides in length.
Source: RNAcentral